RNAcentral lists this transfer RNA (75 nucleotides) under Hyphomicrobiales bacterium. Its description in RNAcentral is "tRNA-Ala". It matches the Rfam family "tRNA". From Rfam's summary of the family: Transfer RNA (tRNA) molecules are approximately 80 nucleotides in length. Lineage: Bacteria; Pseudomonadati; Pseudomonadota; Alphaproteobacteria; Hyphomicrobiales. The record is from RNAcentral.
GGGGCCGUAGCUCAGUUGGGAGAGCGCGACGUUCGCAAUGUCGAGGUCAGGGGUUCGAUCCCCUCGGCUCCACCA